Molecule: ribosomal RNA, 253 nt
Filed under: uncultured bacterium
Lineage: Bacteria
Description: partial 16S ribosomal RNA
Rfam family: Bacterial small subunit ribosomal RNA
Source: RNAcentral
GACAGAGGGUGCAAUCGUUGUUCGGAAUUACUGGGCGUAAAGCGUGUGUAGGCGGCUAUGUAAGUCGGAUGUGAAAGCCCCGGGCUCAACUCGGGAAGUGCACUCGAUACUGCGUAGCUAGAGUACCGGAGAGGUUGGUGGAAUUCUCGGUGUAGAGGUGAAAUUCGUAGAUAUCGAGAGGAACACCGGUGGCGAAGGCGGCCAACUGGACGAGUACUGACGCUGAGACACGAAAGCGUGGGGAGCAAACAGG